GGUGGCGGCGGCCGGUGCCGCCCCGGACGAGUGGUGGGCGUACCCGGUCAGGCCAAGACGCCCCAGC
RNAcentral lists this non-coding RNA (67 nucleotides) under Micromonospora sp. Lineage: Bacteria; Bacillati; Actinomycetota; Actinomycetes; Micromonosporales; Micromonosporaceae. The record is from RNAcentral.